GAGCGCCCCGCAAGGGGAGCGGCAGACGGGAGAGUAACACGUGGGAACGUGCCCUUUGGUUUGGAACAACACAGGGAAACUUGUGCUAAUACCGGAUAAGUCCGUAAGGAGAAAGAUUUAUCGCCAAAGGAUCGGCCCGCGUCCGAUUAGCUUGUUGGUGAGGUAACGGCUCACCAAGGCGACGAUCAGUAGCUGGUCUGAGAGGAUGAUCAGCCUCACUGGGACUGAGACACGGCCCAGACUCCUACGGGAGGCAGCAGUGGGGAAUAUUGGACAAUGGGCGCAAGCCUGAUCCAGCCAUGCCGCGUGGAUGAUGAAGGCCUUAGGGUUGUAAAGUCCUUUCGGCGGGGAAGAUAAUGACGGUACCCGCAGAAGAAGCCCCGGCUAACUUCGUGCCAGCAGCCGCGGUAAUACGAAGGGGGCUAGCGUUGCUCGGAAUCACUGGGCGUAAAGCGCACGUAGGCGGCUUUUUAAGUCAGAGGUGAAAUCCUGGAGCUCAACUCCAGAACUGCCUUUGAUACUGGAGAGCUUGAGUCCGGGAGAGGUGAGUGGAACUGCGAGUGUAGAGGUGAAAUUCGUAGAUAUUCGCAAGAACACCAGUGGCGAAGGCGGCUCACUGGCCCGGUACUGACGCUGAGGUGCGAAAGCGUGGGGA
RNAcentral lists this ribosomal RNA (655 nucleotides) under uncultured forest soil bacterium. Its description in RNAcentral is "bacterial SSU rRNA". It matches the Rfam family "Bacterial small subunit ribosomal RNA", at positions 64 to 767 of the family's 1533-position model. The record is from RNAcentral.